CAGAUUAUUCAAAUUAAAUUCUAAAUAAUCAAGUACUUUUAAUUUUUGUUUUAGUUAAGCAUUUAUUUAUAGAAAAAUCAUAAAAAUUAAUUUAUUAAUUUAUAAGUUAAAUAUUAUAAAUUAAAAUUUAAUUAUUAAAGAUUUUGUAUGAUUUGAUAAAUAAUUUUAAUUUUUAUAUAAUACUAAUGUUUAUUAUUAGUAAUUUUUAUUUGUUUUAAAUUAUUUUUUAAAUUUUUUAUGUUAUAAUCAUUAUAAUAAAAUGUAAUUAUUUAAUUUUUUUAAUAUAAUAUAAUAAAUCUUUUUAAUUAUAAUUAAAUUAGUAUUAAAUUUUUUUAUUACUUUAUCUUUUAUUUCCUAAUAAUUUUUAAAUUAUAUUAUUUUAUUAGAAUUUAUGGACAUCUGUUUACUAAAAACAUAAGAAUAAGUUUUAAAUUUAUUUUGACUUUUUAUAAUUAAGUGUCUUUUAAAAUUAGUAGGUAUAAGUUGAUUUUUAAUUGUUUUCUCUCCUAAAAAUGUGAUGUUUAUAAAUUUUAAUUAUAUAAAAUAAAGAAUUUUUGUUUUAAUUAAGAUGAUAAGUCCCUAAAAGUUUAAAUUGAUGGGGUGAGCUAUGUUAAAUAAUAUUUAUUUCUAUUUAAUUGAUUUGUUUAUUACUUUAGGGCUAAUGGGAUUAUUCUUAUUUAUAAGCUUUUAUUACCUCGUUGUUGUAUAAAUUAUGAUUGAAUAUCAGCAUUUGAUUCUUUUUAAACUGUUCUUUUAUUAAAUUUUUUCUUUAUAUGAGUUUAGAACGUAGCAUUGUAGUUCGGUUUCUAUCUAAUUCAUUUAAUAAUGUACGAAAGGAAUUUUAUUUUUA
This 850-nucleotide ribosomal RNA is filed under the name Beroe forskalii. RNAcentral describes it as "16S ribosomal RNA". Lineage: Eukaryota; Metazoa; Ctenophora; Nuda; Beroida; Beroidae. The record is from RNAcentral.